CCUACGGGAGGCAGCAGUUAGGAAUAUUGGGCAAUGGAGGAAACUCUGACCCAGCAACGCCGCGUGAAGGAAGAAGGUUUUCGGAUUGUAAACUUCUGAUCUGUGGGAAGAAGAAAAUGCCGGUACCAUUGAAGAAAGCAACGGCUAACUACGUGCCAGCAGCCCCGGUAAUAGGUAGGUGGCGAGCGUUGUCCGGAUUAACUGGGGGUAAAGGGGGCGUAGGUGGUUAAAUAAGUUAGUUGUGAAUCCACCGGGCUCAACUCUGGAAUUGCACUUAAACCUGGUUAACUAGAGUGCAGGAGAGGUGAACGGAAUUUCUUGUGUAGCGGUGAAAUGCGUAGAUAUUAGGAAGAACACCAGAGGCGAAGGCGGUUCACUGGACGGCAACUGACAGUGAGGCGCGAAAGCGUGGGGAGCAAACAGGAUUAGAUACCCCGGUAGUC
This 443-nucleotide ribosomal RNA is filed under the name uncultured bacterium. Its description in RNAcentral is "partial 16S ribosomal RNA". It matches the Rfam family "Bacterial small subunit ribosomal RNA", at positions 338 to 795 of the family's 1533-position model. The record is from RNAcentral.